This 253-nucleotide ribosomal RNA is filed under the name uncultured bacterium. RNAcentral's name for it is "partial 16S ribosomal RNA". It matches the Rfam family "Bacterial small subunit ribosomal RNA", at positions 524 to 776 of the family's 1533-position model. The record is from RNAcentral.
GACGAGGGAUCCUAGCGUUGCUCGGAAUCAUUGGGCGUAAAGCGGGUGUAGGUGGUUUUGUAAGUCUGGCGUGAAAUUUUUCGGCUUAACCGGGAAAGGUCGUCGGAUACUGCAGGACUAGAGGACGGUAGAGGCGUGUGGAAUUCCGGGUGUAGUGGUGAAAUGCGUAGAGAUCCGGAGGAACACCAGUGGCGAAGGCGACACGCUGGGCCGUACCUGACACUGAUGCGCGACAGCAUGGGGAGCAAACAGG